GACGAACGCUGGCGGCGUGCUUAACACAUGCAAGUCGAACGGAAAGGCCCUGCUUUUGUGGGGUGCUCGAGUGGCGAACGGGUGAGUAACACGUGAGUAACCUGCCCUUGACUUUGGGAUAACUUCAGGAAACUGGGGCUAAUACCGGAUAGGAGCUCCUGCUGCAUGGUGGGGGUUGGAAAGUUUCGGCGGUUGGGGAUGGACUCGCGGCUUAUCAGCUUGUUGGUGGGGUAGUGGCUUACCAAGGCUUUGACGGGUAGCCGGCCUGAGAGGGUGACCGGCCACAUUGGGACUGAGAUACGGCCCAGACUCCUACGGGAGGCAGCAGUGGGGAAUAUUGCACAAUGGGCGGAAGCCUGAUGCAGCAACGCCGCGUGCGGGAUGACGGCCUUCGGGUUGUAAACCGCUUUCGCCUGUGACGAAGCGUGAGUGACGGUAAUGGGUAAAGAAGCACCGGCUAACUACGUGCCAGCAGCCGCGGUGAUACGUAGGGUGCGAGCGUUGUCCGGAUUUAUUGGGCGUAAAGGGCUCGUAGGUGGUUGAUCGCGUCGGAAGUGUAAUCUUGGGGCUUAACCCUGAGCGUGCUUUCGAUACGGGUUGACUUGAGGAAAGUAAGGGAGAAUGGAAUUCCUGGUGGAGCGGUGGAAUGCGCAGAUAUCAGGAGGAACACCAGUGGCGAAGGCGGUUCUCUGGGCCUUUCCUGACGCUGAGGAGCGAAAGCGUGGGGAGCGAACAGGCUUAGAUACCCUGGUAGUCCACGCUGUAAACGGUGGGUACUAGGUGUGGGGUCCAUUCCACGGGUUCCGUGCCGUAGCUAACGCUUUAAGUACCCCGCCUGGGGAGUACGGCCGCAAGGCUAAAACUCAAAGGAAUUGACGGGGCCCCGCACAAGCGGCGGAGCAUGCGGAUUAAUUCGAUGCAACGCGUAGAACCUUACCUGGGUUUGACAUGGAUCGGGAGCGCUCAGAGAUGGGUGUGCCUCUUUUGGGGUCGGUUCACAGGUGGUGCAUGGCUGUCGUCAGCUCGUGUCGUGAGAUGUUGGGUUAAGUCCCGCAACGAGCGCAACCCUUGUUCACUGUUGCCAGCACGUUAUGGUGGGGACUCAGUGGAGACCGCCGGGGUCAACUCGGAGGAAGGUGGGGAUGACGUCAAGUCAUCAUGCCCCUUAUGUCCAGGGCUUCACGCAUGCUACAAUGGCUGGUACAGAGAGUGGCGAGCCUGUGAGGGUGAGCGAAUCUCGGAAAGCCGGUCUCAGUUCGGAUUGGGGUCUGCAACUCGACCUCAUGAAGUCGGAGUCGCUAGUAAUCGCAGAUCAGCAACGCUGCGGUGGAUACGUUCCCGGG
Molecule: ribosomal RNA, 1343 nt
Filed under: uncultured bacterium
Lineage: Bacteria
Description: 16S ribosomal RNA
Rfam family: Bacterial small subunit ribosomal RNA
Source: RNAcentral